RNAcentral lists this ribosomal RNA (406 nucleotides) under uncultured bacterium. RNAcentral describes it as "bacterial SSU rRNA". It matches the Rfam family "Bacterial small subunit ribosomal RNA", at positions 354 to 776 of the family's 1533-position model. The record is from RNAcentral.
GCAGGGAAUCUUGCACAAUGGGCGAAAGCCUGAUGCAGCGACGCCGCGUGAGGGACGAAGGCCUUCGGGUCGUAAACCUCUUUUCUCAGGGAAGAGCAAGGACGGUACCUGAGGAAUAAGCCACGGCUAACUACGUGCCAGCAGCCGCGGUAAUACGUAGGUGGCGAGCGUUGUCCGGAAUUACUGGGCGUAAAGGGUCCGUAGGCGGUCCGGAAAGUCUUUUGUGAAAUCUCCCGGCUUAACUGGGAGAGGUCGAGAGAUACUACCGGACUUGAGGGCGUCAGAGGGAGACGGAAUUCCCGGUGUAGUGGUGAAAUGCGUAGAUAUCGGGAGGAACACCAGUGGCGAAGGCGGUCUCCUGGGGCGUCCCUGACGCUGAGGGACGAAAGCGUGGGUAGCAAACCGG